RNAcentral lists this ribosomal RNA (462 nucleotides) under uncultured Desulfobacteraceae bacterium. RNAcentral's name for it is "bacterial SSU rRNA". It matches the Rfam family "Bacterial small subunit ribosomal RNA", at positions 342 to 795 of the family's 1533-position model. Lineage: Bacteria; Pseudomonadati; Thermodesulfobacteriota; Desulfobacteria; Desulfobacterales; Desulfobacteraceae. The record is from RNAcentral.
CGGGGGGCUGCAGUGAGGAAUUUUGCGCAAUGGGGGAAACCCUGACGCAGCAACGCCGCGUGAGUGAUGAAGGCCUUCGGGUCGUAAAGCUCUGUCAAGUGGGAAGAACCCGGUUGAUUAUAAUACAAUUAACCGCUGACGGUACCACUGAAGGAAGCACCGGCUAACUCCGUGCCAGCAGCCGCGGUAAUACGGGGGGUGCAAGCGUUAUUCGGAAUCAUUGGGCGUAAAGGGCGCGUAGGCGGUUUUUUAAGUCGGAUGUGAAAGCCCGGGGCUUAACCCCGGAAGUGCAUUUGAAACUGAAAGACUUGAGUAUGGGAGAGGGAAGUGGAAUUCCUGGUGUAGAGGUGAAAUUCGUAGAUAUCAGGAGGAACACCGGUGGCGAAGGCGACUUCCUGGACCAAUACUGACGCUGAGGCGCGAAGGCGUGGGUAGCAAACAGGAUUAGAUACCCGUGUAGUC